RNAcentral lists this ribosomal RNA (253 nucleotides) under uncultured bacterium. Its description in RNAcentral is "partial 16S ribosomal RNA". It matches the Rfam family "Bacterial small subunit ribosomal RNA", at positions 524 to 776 of the family's 1533-position model. The record is from RNAcentral.
UACGGGGGGAGCAAGCGUUGUUCGGAUUUACUGGGCGUAAAGGGCGCGUAGGCGGCGCGACAAGUCACUUGUGAAAUCUCCGGGCUUAACCCGGAGCGGCCAAGUGAUACUGUAGUGCUAGAGUGCGGAAGGGGCUACUGGAAUUCUCGGUGUAGCGGUGAAAUGCGUAGAUAUCGAGAGGAACACCUGCGGCGAAGGCGGGUAGCUGGGCCGACACUGACGCUGAGGCGCGAAAGCCAGGGGAGCGAACGGG